Molecule: long non-coding RNA, 221 nt
Filed under: Astyanax mexicanus (Mexican tetra)
Lineage: Eukaryota; Metazoa; Chordata; Actinopteri; Characiformes; Acestrorhamphidae
Description: lncRNA (ENSAMXG00005015846.1)
Source: RNAcentral
ACAGACUUUCAGAAGAAGCUGCAGCAGAUACCACAACCUCCAGAAACCUCUAGGAACAUCUAGGAACCUCUAGGAACCUCCAGGAACUCUGAUGUUUGCAGCAGAUAUUUGAAUCAUCCACUAUCGACAGCUGCUGUGUACCAGUGUGCCCGUGCCCACCGACCGCGUGGUCGUCCCCUGCCUGCUGAGAGUUCCUGAGUGUGUUCCUUCGUGCUACCCUU